CAAGAUGCUUAUAUAUAUGGUGUGAUUUUUAUAGGAUGCCUCUGUCACUAAUAAGUUGUGUGACAUUGUGCCAAUCAUUCAACGUCUGUGAACCAAGAGGAGCCAUGACUUUCUCAUCUACAAAGCAUAAACAACUAUACAACUGGAAAAAAAUGAAAGAGCGAUUUCAAAUGUUUGACAACAGCACAGGACAGUGA
RNAcentral lists this long non-coding RNA (197 nucleotides) under Capra hircus (goat). Its description in RNAcentral is "lncRNA (ENSCHIG00000002473.1)". The record is from RNAcentral. Lineage: Eukaryota; Metazoa; Chordata; Mammalia; Artiodactyla; Bovidae.